Molecule: long non-coding RNA, 346 nt
Organism: Sinocyclocheilus rhinocerous
Lineage: Eukaryota; Metazoa; Chordata; Actinopteri; Cypriniformes; Cyprinidae
Exons: 3
Source: RefSeq, a predicted model, not a curated record
UCAAAAAUCUUUUACUGUAGGAUGGUGGCUCGCUGGACCAGUGCCUGAAAAAAGCAGGCAAGAUCCCAGAACAAAUACUGGGCAAAGUUAGCAUUGCGGUGAUAAAAGGCCUGUCCUAUCUGCGGGAGAAACACAAGAUUAUGCACAGAGAUGUAAAGCCAUCUAAUAUACUGGUGAACUCGCGUGGUGAGAUCAAGUUGUGUGACUUUGGUGUGAGUGGACAGCUCAUUGACUCCAUGGCCAAUUCGUUUGUGGGCACCAGGUCCUACAUGUCUGUAAGUUUACAUUCCCAACAAAAAUACUAAUUCUAGCAAAUCAUCUCACUAAAAUCCCAUUAAAUUAUCUU